AAUAGAUGACGCCGUUGACUUUUUCUCACAUGUUUGACCAUUCGUUUUAUUCAAAAAGUUUACGUAAUUAUAAUUUAUUUUGUUAUGAGUUGUUUUAUUACUCAUAGUACUUUAAGUGUGAUUUAUAUCUUAUACAUUUGCAUAAAAUUUUUGAAAAAGACGAAUGGUCAAACAUGUGAGAAAAAGUUAACGGCGUCAUCUAUU
Molecule: microRNA precursor, 204 nt
Organism: Oryza sativa Japonica Group (Japanese rice)
Lineage: Eukaryota; Viridiplantae; Streptophyta; Magnoliopsida; Poales; Poaceae
Rfam family: MIR812 microRNA precursor family
Source: Rfam